This 73-nucleotide transfer RNA is filed under the name Tursiops truncatus (common bottlenose dolphin). RNAcentral's name for it is "tRNA-Ala (TGC) (tRNA-Ala-TGC-15-1)". It matches the Rfam family "tRNA". Rfam says of the family: Transfer RNA (tRNA) molecules are approximately 80 nucleotides in length. Their secondary structure includes four short double-helical elements and three loops (D, anti-codon, and T loops). Lineage: Eukaryota; Metazoa; Chordata; Mammalia; Artiodactyla; Delphinidae. The record is from Rfam by way of RNAcentral. RNAcentral also lists the same sequence under 1 other name.
UCCCUGAUGGUCCAGUGGUUACGACUCCGUGCUUGCACUGCAGGGGUCACAGGUUCAAUCCCUGGUCAGGGAA